This is a long non-coding RNA of Ctenopharyngodon idella (grass carp), 3485 nucleotides long. RefSeq lists it as uncharacterized. The record is from RefSeq and is a predicted model, not a curated record. The transcript has 7 exons. Lineage: Eukaryota; Metazoa; Chordata; Actinopteri; Cypriniformes; Xenocyprididae.
UAGAAGGGGUUGAGAAGGGGUGCGGUGUAAAUCUACUCAUCAUAUUAAACCAGGCCUUCCUAGAACACCUGAGUCUCUGAGUCCUGACUGAUGCCUCAAAGUUACUCCUCACUCACCUCCUAAGUUGGAGGGCUUCUAUCUCAGACAAAUCACUAAACCUACAGAUAGGAGAGAGUGGAGAGAAUCAGAUCCUGUUGGAGAACUGUAACCCCCCUGAACCGACACUACCAGAUAACCCCAGAGAAGCAGAGGAAAGAGCAGAUAGCAGACGCACAGAUAGCACAGAUGCGUCAGUUUGUCUGGACAUACACGGCAGGUCAACAGCAGCUGAAUUUGAGUAGACCUCAGAUCUGCACCGCAAGAAGAGGUUGGAUCUUGAUUAGCUCUAGAUUCAGACGGCAUACCUACUAUCUGUCUGCUCACUGUUUAGCAGUUCUCUUUUGGGUUUUAAUUUAGGACUUUUUUCAUUGGACAUCAAGAGGCAACGGUAUAGAUAAAUUGUUUAUAUUGUACAAUAUAUAUAUAUAUAUUUUUUUUAAAUUGGUUUUAUGUUCUCUGCAGCCACAUAUAGCACAUUGUGGUCAAGUUUAUCCACUUUGCAAGUGAAAUUAUAUUUAAUAGAGUCUGUAUUUAAUUUUCUUUAACCCUGUGUAGAUUUAUUCAUAGCUUUUGAAGAGCAGUGCAUGUCUCGCAACCUGUCCAUAAUGAUAUUCGUCUAAAUUAACUAGCUUUAAUGAAGUGACAGAUGAAAUUGUGCGAAAUUACCAUAGAUUUGAUUGGAUGCACGGCCUUUGAUGUCAAUAAAAGGUAACAGAAACCACUUCCUCUGUUUUAAUAGUUAAUAGGUAAUAAUUGAUUAACAAUAUUAAUAAUUAUUAUUAAAUGUUCAGUAUUAUUAAUUAUUAAUAUUGUUGAUAAUGAUAAUAUUGUUACUUGAAUUUGAGUAUUAGCAUUUAGUGUUUUUUUUUUUCUUGUUUUUUUUUUUUUCACCCUAUGCACAAGUAAAGGUCACAAGACUUCAAGUGCCAUUUGGGACAUUUUAACCAUUUCACCUAGAAACAAAGUCAUAAUUUUAAGGCUGCAAUAAUGAACACUUCUGAGGAAGAAAUAGCUACUAGAUUUGCUGUAGUUCGCAUGCCUUGAAACUCUGAAAGAUAUUAAAGAUAAUGCCACUUUUACAAGAUAUAAAAAUAAGUCUCUGAUGUCCCUAGAGUGUGUAUGUGAAGCUCAAAAUACCCUACAGAUCAUUUUUUAUAGCAUGUUAAAUUUGUCAUUUUUUUGAGGGUGAGCAAAAACGCUCCGUUUUUGUGUGUGUUCCUUGAAAUGCAAAUGAGCUGCUGCUCUCAAGAAGAGGGCGGAGUUUCAAGAGCUUGUGUUAGCAGCGCCUCACAUUACCUCAUGCAGACUUCAUUAAAAUGUUAGAAACUGUUCAGACUUUUAUGUUCAAACCGGAGUCGGACAAUGAUGGAGAGACUCAAGAAGAAGUGACAACAUGUAGAAUGCAACAGGACGUUUCUGAAUGGUUAGCUGAUGAAUUUAUGUAGCUGAUGUGGAGUUACCUAUCUUAAAGUCAUUGAUUAGCAUAUUCUGUCAUGAUAAUCUAUAAAUCAGUCAUGUGGGAACUGUUGUAAGAUGCCUACAGAGCCAGAGAAUAUAUGCUGCAUGAAGAUAGAACAGGUAAUAGACUAUUAUAACUUGUCAUUUUGUCAUCUUGCUUUUAUGACAUGCUAUUGCAUUUGUGUUAUGUACUGUAUUGCAAUAACAUGGCCUCACCCCCUUUGUUGCAUUUUCUCAGGGGCAGGGUUUAUGUAAAUUUUAGGGUUAUUGAUGUCGCAAACCCGGGAAGAAACUCAUUGUAGUCCUUACCAGCCAUAUCUUGUAGUCCUUAAACAGAGAAUUCUUUAAAAGAAAAUAUCUAUCUUUACUUUGAACUUUGAGCGACGUAACUUUGCAGAUGUUGUUUAUGCUCAAACAGCAACAUUACACACUAACUAAAGUUAAAAAAGUGAAAUCAUAAUCAAUCACCUCUUUAAGUUAGGAGUUUUAUACCCUGAUUGGUGAUGUCGAAUGUUUUUAUGUUGUCAUCCUUCUUCAUAGAGACAAAAGGGAUAUAGAAAACAAUAUGCUUAGUAGUCUUUUUGAGGGGUAGCGGUUUGUGGGUUGUUAUUUUUAUGUUUUUUUUCUUGCCUCUCUUAUUUACUUUCUUUGUUCUCCACAUUUUAUGUGCUUUCAGCUGUCAACCAUUGUGUUUCCCUUGCUCUCUCUUCCCCUCUCUCUCUGAGUUACAUGUCGUCAGUGUGUUUAUCAGUGUUUGUACAGACCUAUGGCCUCUCGCUUCUCAAACCCAGGAGCAACACACACAGUGCCGCAGUCUUUUCUGACUGCUGUGAAAUGCAGAGAUGGCUCAGGAAUACUAAUCCCAUUCGCAUGUCAACUGGACGGACCAGAGGAGAAGCUAAUGGGGCGGGCGGGGAUGAGGAGAAGGACACCCUCCUCCAACCCCAGCACUGCAUCAGUGAGUGGCAGAGUCCUCCCGGCCACAGAGAUAAAGAUUAGUAGAGGCCGAGCUGAACACAGAGCACGUGACACUGCACGUUAACCUUCUACUGCUGCCAUUGAAAACAGGGCUUCCACUUUAGGCCGAGCGAGACCUCAAUGGCAUGAUCAAGGGAUGGAGAGUGGAAGUGUGAUGAGGGAGGAGGAAUAAGAGAGAGAAAGAAGUGUCGGACUAUUAUGAAUGGCGAUGGGUGGAGUCAUGCCAGGUGCCAGAGGUUAUGCUAACGACCUUUAAGUGUGGAUACUCUCACUCCAGAGAAGCGGUCGCCCCUGCAGACAUCAGAUGUGAGGAAACAGUCGGACAACAGUGGUUCAGCCUGUUAGGAUGUGUUCCAGCAGAUUGUGGUCAGAUAAACAGUUCUCAGGGCAAAACUUCUAGUAAAUGCUCGACACACCGGUGGGGUCCUCAGAAGAAUGGCUGACCAGAGGAACAGCGCCAUAGCAAUUAAACAGAGGGAUUCACACUUGUCUGGUUCUGAACUUACUUCCAAUCUGGGUUUUGGACACAAGUCAAAGAUAACAGCUGUACACGUUGAGGGAUCAGUGAACCCAGCUGACUCCCUGGCAGCCGGAACACCGGCAGGAACCAGCUCAUAAUUAGAAACGUUUUGGGUCAUCUCGAGGAGAAACAGAGAGAAGAGAGACAUGCAGGGAGAAUAAGAAGCAAGUAUGGAUAUAAUAAUAGAUGCUCAGCCUCAUAGCAUGUCCUAUUUGUGAAAUUGGUGCCAAUGUCAACAAAGAUCAACUUUACAGUCGGAAACAUAGUAUACACAUAUGCAGGUGUGAAUGUUGGUCAAUGCAUUGCAAGUGCGCUCUCAACUUAAAAUUGAUAUGGAAUGGAAAUUUACCCAGUCUUUUUUCUGAAUGCAUCUUAUUGUGUACGUUUCAUUCAUGAAUGUUCAAUAAAAAAUAAAAUGUUGAGCUUGUAA